UACGAAGGGUGCAAGCGUUGCUCGGAAUUACUGGGCGUAAAGCGUGCGUAGGUGGUUCGUCAAGUCUGAUGUGAAAGCCCUGGGCUCAACCUGGGAAUGGCAUUGGAAACUGGCGAGCUAGAGUGCGGUAGAGGGUAGUGGAAUUCCCGGUGUAGCAGUGAAAUGCGUAGAGAUCGGGAGGAACAUCCGUGGCGAAGGCGACUACCUGGACCAGCACUGACACUGAGGCACGAAAGCGUGGGGAGCAAACAGG
RNAcentral lists this ribosomal RNA (253 nucleotides) under uncultured bacterium. Its description in RNAcentral is "partial 16S ribosomal RNA". It matches the Rfam family "Bacterial small subunit ribosomal RNA", at positions 524 to 776 of the family's 1533-position model. The record is from RNAcentral.